UUUUUUUUGAAUAGCUGGAGGUUUUGGGCCGAAGCCCGUAAUCCCCCCAGGACCGAAACCACAGCAUGUAAUAUUAGUUUCGUUCCAAGCGUUACUCGAACCGGCGACCUUAAGCUUCUUCACAUAUCAGUUUUUGUUUUUCUAUCUUCAAAACUUUAUCCCGAAAGUAAGAACUUAUGUUUUUGGUGUAGGCAUGGAAAAGAUGGGUUGAAGGAAAGCCUGAGAUUAUAAUUGAUCCGUUCUUAAUAGAGAAUCCAAG
RNAcentral lists this small RNA (259 nucleotides) under Arabidopsis thaliana (thale cress). RNAcentral's name for it is "ATSL195200". Lineage: Eukaryota; Viridiplantae; Streptophyta; Magnoliopsida; Brassicales; Brassicaceae. The record is from RNAcentral.